UACGAAGGGGGCUAGCGUUGCUCGGAAUCACUGGGCGUAAAGGGCGCGUAGGCGGCCUGAUAAGUCGGGGGUGAAAGCCUGUGGCUCAACCACAGAAUUGCCUUCGAUACUGUUGGGCUUGAGACCGGAAGAGGUAAGUGGAACUGCGAGUGUAGAGGUGAAAUUCGUAGAUAUUCGCAAGAACACCAGUGGCGAAGGCGGCUUACUGGUCCGGAUCUGACGCUGAGGAGCGAAAGCGUGGGGAGCGAACAGG
RNAcentral lists this ribosomal RNA (253 nucleotides) under uncultured bacterium. RNAcentral describes it as "partial 16S ribosomal RNA". It matches the Rfam family "Bacterial small subunit ribosomal RNA", at positions 524 to 776 of the family's 1533-position model. The record is from RNAcentral.